Molecule: transfer RNA, 72 nt
Filed under: Camelus bactrianus (Bactrian camel)
Lineage: Eukaryota; Metazoa; Chordata; Mammalia; Artiodactyla; Camelidae
Also listed under: 1 other name
Rfam family: tRNA
About the family: Transfer RNA (tRNA) molecules are approximately 80 nucleotides in length. Their secondary structure includes four short double-helical elements and three loops (D, anti-codon, and T loops).
Source: Rfam by way of RNAcentral
GGAGGCAGAGUUUGGUGGCAGAGUCUGUGCUUAGCAUGCACAAAGUCGUGGGUUCAAUCCCCAGUACCUCCA